AACGAACGCUGGCGGCAUGCCUAACACAUGCAAGUCGAACGAGACCUUCGGGUCUAGUGGCGCACGGGUGCGUAACGCGGGGGAACCGGCCCUUAGGUUCGGAAUAACUCCCCGAAAGGGGUGCUAAUACCGGAUAAUGUCUUCGGACCAAAGAUUUAUCGUCUUUGGAUGGGCCGGCGUUGGAUUAGCUAGUUGGUAGGGUAAAAGCCUACCAAGGCGACGAUCCAUAGCUGGUCUGAGAGGAUGAUCAGCCACACUGGGACUGAGACACGGCCCAGACUCCUACGGGAGGCAGCAGUGGGGAAUAUUGGACAAUGGGCGAAAGCCUGAUCCAGCAAUGCCGCGUGAGUGAUGAAGGCCUUAGGGUUGUAAAGCUCUUUUACCCGGGAUGAUAAUGACAGUACCGGGAGAAUAAGCUCCGGCUAACUCCGUG
This 433-nucleotide ribosomal RNA is filed under the name uncultured bacterium. RNAcentral's name for it is "partial 16S ribosomal RNA". It matches the Rfam family "Bacterial small subunit ribosomal RNA", at positions 29 to 507 of the family's 1533-position model. The record is from RNAcentral.